GAACAUCGAUUAACAUAUAGCAUAUAUUAUGAAAAAUUAAAUCUAAAACCUAAUUUUGUAUUCUAAAGUGAUUGAUGAGCAAAAUGGGGAUGAGAGACAAAAUGCGGGAAGCGAAGAGGAUACUCUGCCAAGUGUAGAAGUGAUUGAUGAGCAAAAUGGGGAUGAGAGACAAAAUGCGGGAAGCGAAGAGGAUACCCUGCCAAGUGUAGAAGUGAUUGAUGAGCAAAAUGGGGAUGAGAGACAAAAUGCGGGAAGCGAAGAGGAUACCCUGCCAAGUGUAGAAGUGAUUGAUGAGCAAAAUGGGGAUGAGAGACAAAAUGCGGGAAGCGAAGAGGAUACUCUGCCAAGUGUAGAAGUGAUUGAUGAGCAAAAUGGGGAUGAGAGACAAAAUGCGGGAAGCGAAGAGGAUACUCUGCCAAGUGUAG
Dendronephthya gigantea is the source of this 425-nucleotide long non-coding RNA. RefSeq lists it as uncharacterized. The record is from RefSeq and is a predicted model, not a curated record. NCBI's taxonomy places the organism in Eukaryota, Metazoa, Cnidaria, Anthozoa, Malacalcyonacea, Nephtheidae. The transcript has 5 exons.